This 354-nucleotide ribosomal RNA is filed under the name bacterium LimA-10-J-93. RNAcentral describes it as "bacterial SSU rRNA". It matches the Rfam family "Bacterial small subunit ribosomal RNA", at positions 289 to 635 of the family's 1533-position model. RNAcentral also lists the same sequence under 1 other name. The record is from RNAcentral.
GGUCUGAGAGGAUGAUCAGUCACACUGGAACUGAGACACGGUCCAGACUCCUACGGGAGGCAGCAGUGGGGAAUAUUGGACAAUGGGCGAAAGCCUGAUCCAGCCAUGCCGCGUGUGUGAAGAAGGUCUUCGGAUUGUAAAGCACUUUAAGUUGGGAGGAAGGGCAGUAAGUUAAUACCUUGCUGUUUUGACGUUACCAACAGAAUAAGCACCGGCUUACUUCGUGCCAGCAGCCGCGGUAAUACGAAGGGUGCAAGCGUUAAUCGGAAUUACUGGGCGUAAAGCGCGCGUAGGUGGUUCAGCAAGUUGGAUGUGAAAUCCCCGGGCUCAACCUGGGAACUGCAUCCAAAACUA